This 496-nucleotide ribosomal RNA is filed under the name uncultured bacterium. Its description in RNAcentral is "partial 16S ribosomal RNA". It matches the Rfam family "Bacterial small subunit ribosomal RNA", at positions 29 to 507 of the family's 1533-position model. The record is from RNAcentral.
AUGAACGCUGGCGGCGUGCCUAAUACCUGCAAGUCGAGCGAACAGAUGAGGAGCUUGCUCCUCUGACGUUAGCGGCGGACGGGUGAGUAACACGUGGAUAACCUACCUAUAAGACUGGGAUAACUUCGGGAAACCGGAGCUAAUACCGGAUAAUAUAUUGAACCGCAUGGUUCAAUAGUGAAAGACGGUUUUGCUGUCACUUAUAGAUGGAUCCGCGCCGCAUUAGCUAGUUGGUAAGGUAACGGCUUACCAAGGCAACGAUGCGUAGCCGACCUGAGAGGGUGAUCGACCACACUGGAACUGAGACACGGUCCAGACUCCUACGGGAGGCAGCAGUAGGGAAUCUUCCGCAAUGGGCGAAAGCCUGACGGAGCAACGCCGCGUGAGUGAUGAAGGUCUUCGGAUCGUAAAACUCUGUUAUUAGGGAAGAACAAAUGUGUAAGUAACUAUGCACGUCUUGACGGUACCUAAUCAGAAAGCCACGGCUAACUACGUG